GACGAACGCUGGCGGCGUGCUUAACACAUGCAAGUCGAACGGAAAGGCCCUGCUUUUGUGGGGUGCUCGAGUGGCGAACGGGUGAGUAACACGUGAGUAACCUGCCCUUGACUUUGGGAUAACUUCAGGAAACUGGGGCUAAUACCGGAUAGGAGCUCCUGCUGCAUGGUGGGGGUUGGAAAGUUUCGGCGGUUGGGGAUGGACUCGCGGCUUAUCAGCUUGUUGGUGGGGUAGUGGCUUACCAAGGCUUUGACGGGUAGCCGGCCUGAGAGGGUGACCGGCCACAUUGGGACUGAGAUACGGCCCAGACUCGUACGGGAGGCAGCAGUGGGGAAUAUUGCACAAUGGGCGGAAGCCUGAUGCAGCAACGCCGCGUGCGGGAUGACGGCCUUCGGGUUGUGAACCGCUUUCGCCUGUGACGAAGCGUGAGUGACGGUAAUGGGUAAAGAAGCACCGGCUAACUACGUG
This 468-nucleotide ribosomal RNA is filed under the name uncultured bacterium. RNAcentral's name for it is "partial 16S ribosomal RNA". It matches the Rfam family "Bacterial small subunit ribosomal RNA", at positions 28 to 507 of the family's 1533-position model. The record is from RNAcentral.